UUAACUAUUAUAUAGUACUCAGACGACACUAACUUCAGGGUUUGGUCUCUGGGGGGCGAGCCCCCCAAAGCAACAAUGUAUACAAGACACGGGUGGGAGAUCUACCCUUGCGGGCAUGAACUCUGUAAUGAUCCCUCCGCAGGUUCACCUACGGAGA
This 157-nucleotide unclassified non-coding RNA is filed under the name uncultured fungus. RNAcentral's name for it is "sequence contains ITS1". Lineage: Eukaryota; Fungi. The record is from RNAcentral.